UAAUAACCUGCUCUCAAGAUCUUCCUAGCCAUAGCAUGCCCAUUGGCGUGCAUUCCUAACGAACCCUCGUGGACUUCCUCGAUCAUGUGGUUCACCUCUUUGGCAUCCACGCAUCGCAGGAGAGUCAUGUCAUGAUUUCUUUUAUAUAAUAUGCUCCCGCUCAUGAAGAAACCGGUCGCUAAUCUCCUCAAUGUCCUUUUAUCAUUGUCAGAAGCCCCCG
This 220-nucleotide long non-coding RNA is filed under the name Glycine max (soybean). RNAcentral describes it as "long non-coding RNA (GMAX_LNC002665)". Lineage: Eukaryota; Viridiplantae; Streptophyta; Magnoliopsida; Fabales; Fabaceae. The record is from RNAcentral.